UUAUGUUAUGCACUGUUUUUGUUAGUUCAUAGACCAGCUGCUUCAGUAAUAUUCCUCAAUAAUCUGGGAUUUUGAUCGAGCUGAAUGGCAUUGUUUGAUCCAUAUACCCGACCUCACUUUGUGGGAUAAGACUUUUGUUGUUGUUGUUGUUGUCUAUAGAUCAGCUGCUUCAGGCACAUGAAGGGUUUGAGAAUCAGCUGAAGGAAGUGCACUUAGCAAAAUAGGAGACGCAAAUAGUCACUGCCUAAAUAGUACAAUAUGUAUACAUUCAUACUUAUAUAAAAAUGCUCAGCUAAUUUCAAAAAAAAAAAGAAUGCUCAGCAAUGUCCACCGGGUUUGCUACAUAACUAUAAUUAUACAUAUCAUUAAUGAUUUGCAAAUUGCUAUUGUUUCAAUCUCUAGGACAUGGAAGAACUUUAUCAUAUUCUGUCUUCACAUUUUGAAACUAGAACAUGCGAAGUUCUUUUGUGUUCCCUCAUUCACCACAACACCUACAAAAACUGUAUGGGUUUAAAGAAUGGAUGCGAUGAAAACACACAUUGCAAAAAAAAAACAAAUCCUAUUCCGUUUUCUCUAACUCCAAGAACCCCCAACAGAAGUAACAUCCCUUAAUUGGCACCUUAUGUUAUGCACUGUUUUUGUUAGUUCAUAGACCAGCUGCUUCAGUAAUAUUCCUCAAUAAUCUGGGAUUUUGAUCGAGCUGAAUGGCAUUGUUUGAUCCAUAUACCCGACCUCACUUUGUGGGAUAAGACUUUUGUUGUUGUUGUUGUUGUCUAUAGAUCAGCUGCUUCAGGCACAUGAAGGGUUUGAGAAUCAGCUGAAGGAAUUGGGAAAGCAACACGAGGGCUGAAGCGCGACAAUGGCGGGAUCCGGGGUGAUGGAGCUGUUGUUCUUGUCCUUGGAGAUAAGUUUUGCUGCUCCAGAAUUAAGAACUGAAGCUCAGGUGGGUAG
Molecule: long non-coding RNA, 951 nt
Filed under: Lotus japonicus
Lineage: Eukaryota; Viridiplantae; Streptophyta; Magnoliopsida; Fabales; Fabaceae
Description: long non-coding RNA (LJAP_LNC000633)
Source: RNAcentral